Molecule: ribosomal RNA, 401 nt
Filed under: uncultured bacterium
Lineage: Bacteria
Description: bacterial SSU rRNA
Rfam family: Bacterial small subunit ribosomal RNA
Source: RNAcentral
CUACUCUUGACAUCCAGAGAAUUCGCUAGAGAUAAAUUAGUGCCUUCGGGAACUCUGAGACAGGUGCUGCAUGGCUGUCGUCAGCUCGUGUUGUGAAAUGUUGGGUUAAGUCCCGCAACGAGCGCAACCCUUAUCCUUGUUUGCCAGCACGUAAUGGUGGGAACUCCAGGGAGACUGCCGGUGAUAAACCGGAGGAAGGUGGGGACGACGUCAAGUCAUCAUGGCCCUUACGAGUAGGGCUACACACGUGCUACAAUGGCGUAUACAGAGGGCUGCAACCUAGCGAUGGUGAGCGAAUCCCACAAAGUACGUCGUAUUCCGGAUUGGAGUCUGCAACUCGACUCCAUGAAGUCGGAAUCGCUAGUAAUCGUGAAUCAGAAUGCCACGGUGAAUACGUUCCC